GUGACCUUGGACAAGUCAGCAUAUAUACUAAAAUUGGAACAAUAGAGAGAAGAUUAGCAGGAUCCCUGCACAAAGGUGACACGCGAAUUCAUGAAACAUUCCACAGUUUU
Small nuclear RNA from Ornithorhynchus anatinus (platypus), 110 nucleotides. Lineage: Eukaryota; Metazoa; Chordata; Mammalia; Monotremata; Ornithorhynchidae. The record is from RefSeq and is a predicted model, not a curated record.